Molecule: ribosomal RNA, 498 nt
Filed under: uncultured bacterium
Lineage: Bacteria
Description: partial 16S ribosomal RNA
Rfam family: Bacterial small subunit ribosomal RNA
Source: RNAcentral
GACGAACGCUGGCGGCGUGCCUAAUACAUGCAAGUCGAACGAGAGCGCCCGGUGCUUGUACUGGUCACUCUUGUCGCGAACGUGUGUGUAACACGUGGAUCCCCUCCCCAUCAGAGGGGGAUCACAUCCGGACUCGGCUGCUAACACCUCAUAGGUCCUCGAGCCGCAUGGCUUGAAGGGGAAAUGAGGCGCCAGCUUCUGCUUCUCUCUGGACCGGCGGUGUAUUAGCUUGUUGGUGAGGUAACGGCUUACCAGGGCCGUGAUGCAUAGCCGACCUGAGAGGGUGAUAGGCGACAUUAGGACGGAGACACGGCCCAAACGCCUACGGGAGGCAGCAGUAGGGAAUCGUACGCAAUGGACGCAAGUCUGACGGAGCAACGCCGCGUGAGUGAAGAAGGUUUUCGGAGCGUAAAACUCUGUUGUGAGAGAAGAACAAGUGCUAGAGUAACUGUGAGCGCCUUGACGGUAGCUAACCAGAAAGCAACGGCUAACUACGUG